Molecule: ribosomal RNA, 253 nt
Filed under: uncultured bacterium
Lineage: Bacteria
Description: partial 16S ribosomal RNA
Rfam family: Bacterial small subunit ribosomal RNA
Source: RNAcentral
UACGAAGGGGGCUAGCGUUGCUCGGAAUCACUGGGCGUAGAGCGCACGUAGGCGGACUCUUAAGUCGGUGGUGAAAUCCUGGAGCUCAACUCCAGAACUGCCUUCGAUACUGGGAGUCUCGAGUCCGGGAGAGGUGAGUGGAACUGCGAGUGUAGAGGUGAAAUUCGUAGAUAUUCGCAAGAACACCAGUGGCGAAGGCGGCUCACUGGCCCGGUACUGACGCUGAGGUGCGAAAGCGUGGGGAGCAAACAGG